GCUCUUUGGUGAUUCAUGAUAACUUAACGGAUCGCAUGGCCUUGCGCCGGCGACGGUUCAUUCAAAUUUCUGCCCUAUCAACUUUCGAUGGUAAGGUAUUGGCUUACCACGGUUUCAACGGGUAACGGGGAAUUAGGGUUCGAUUCCGGAGAGGGAGCCUGAGAAACGGCUACCACAUCCAAGGAAGGCAGCAGGCGCGCAAAUUACCCAAUCCCGACACGGGGAGGUAGUGACAAUAAAUACUGAUACAGGGCUCUUUUGGGUCUUGUAAUCGGAAUGAGUACAAUUUAAACCCCUUAACGAGGAACAAUUGGAGGGCAAGUCUGGUGCCAGCAGCCGCGGUAAUUCCAGCUCCAAUAGCGUAUAUUAAAGUUGUUGCAGUUAAAAAGCUCGUAGUUGAACCUUGGGCCUGGCUGGCCGGUCCGCCUCACCGCGUGUACUGGUCCGGCCGGGCCUUUCCUUCUGGAGAGCCCCAUGCCCUUCACUGGGCGUGCGGGGGAACCAGGACUUUUACUUUGAAAAAAUUAGAGUGUUCAAAGCAGGCCUUUGCUCGAAUACGUUAGCAUGGAAUAAUAGAAUAGGACGUGCGGUCCUAUUUUGUUGGUUUCUAGGACCGCCGUAAUGAUUAAUAGGGAUAGUCGGGGGCAUCAGUAUUCAAUUGUCAGAGGUGAAAUUCUUGGAUUUAUUGAAGACUAACUACUGCGAAAGCAUUUGCCAAGGAUGUUUUCAUUAAUCAGUGAACGAAAGUUAGGGGAUCGAAGACGAUCAGAUACCGUCGUAGUCUUAACCGUAAACUAUGCCGACUAGGGAUCGGGCGAUGUUUCUAUCUUGACUCGCUCGGCACCUUACGAGAAAUCAAAGUUUUUGGGUUCUGGGGGGAGUAUGGUCGCAAGGCUGA
RNAcentral lists this ribosomal RNA (898 nucleotides) under uncultured Pleosporales. RNAcentral's name for it is "SSU rRNA". It matches the Rfam family "Eukaryotic small subunit ribosomal RNA", at positions 238 to 1140 of the family's 1831-position model. The record is from RNAcentral. Lineage: Eukaryota; Fungi; Ascomycota; Dothideomycetes; Pleosporales.